This is a long non-coding RNA of Corapipo altera (White-ruffed manakin), 1509 nucleotides long. RefSeq lists it as uncharacterized. The record is from RefSeq and is a predicted model, not a curated record. Lineage: Eukaryota; Metazoa; Chordata; Aves; Passeriformes; Pipridae. The transcript has 3 exons.
AGACAUUAGAAGAAAUCCGAAGCAGUCAUUUGGAGUCCCUGAAAAAGCAGUUAGAAGAGAGAACUAGAGAUCUUGACCGUGCACUGGGAAGGAUAAAAAGCAACCAAGCAGAAAGACCUUUUCAAAAAGAAUCCAGCCAGGCAGAAGUGGAAAAGUAUAAAGAGCUGUAUGUAGUGGAAGCGAAAAGCAGAAAAAGCCUAGCCAAGAGACUGGAAAGAGCUAAUGAGAGACUUGCAGAGGCCAACACCAAGCUCCUUUGGGAGCGCCACAGAAGCAAAUCUGCAGUCCCAAGCAGCACCGUCAGCAGACACCUGGCUGCAAGUCCACUUCUGGAUUCAACUGGCCUGGGACAUCUUGGCAUCAGUUUGGGACUGAGCAGAAGCCUGGGUCUCAGAACACCACUCAGCCAUCUGUGGUAAAGUGGAAGACUUCCGGUCAUCAGGUUUGUCCAAAUUUUCCAGAGUGGUCCAAGGCCCAAAACUACGGAAAUGGAAGCAAUGAGCUGUGGAACUCCAUUCUUUGACAAGAGAAACUGUGGGAAAGAGCACUGUGGGGCAGGAACCUCCCCCCUAAGUUCUCCACUAAAUUGACACGUAUGGUGUGUGUGACCUAUUUGAAAUGGCUGAUGUCAGCGUGAGUGCCAAAUGCCACCAGACAUCUGUGAGACACCUUUUUCUUCAUCAGUGAUCUUCGUUCUAGCAGUUUCUUCCCCGGACCUUGCUUUAAUAUGUUACUCUGGAUAGGAGGCAUUUGCUGGUGUAGUUCCUGCUACGUCUUCCUCCAUGAAACAGCAGAGCUCCCUACUCCUUGGGAAGUCUUCACGGCCUUCUAAUUUUGCAGCAAUGCUGCAAGCUCUGCAAUACCGCUGGUCCAAGUAUGGCCUGUAGUCAGCAGUCAGUGUGAUAGCACAUCCCUGCCAGAAUGCAGAGCAUGAUAGCAGCAGAGGUGGAAACCCCCCGCCAGGAGUUGUAAUCAGCGGGACAGGCACGUAGCAUGGGCUUGAGGCAUGGGCAAGCAGGAGGCUUGGAAGCGGAUGAUCUUUAAGGUUGCUGAACUUUCCCAGCAGCUGGAGAGAGAAUGUCAAAAGCGCAUGCAGCUGGAAGCCACAAGUCAGGGUUUGCAAGACGAUCUGUCUAGCCUGCGUGGGAAGUGGGAAAACCUGGAGAAGAGCAAAUGCCAGCUGCAAGAAGAGCUGGCAAAGCUCCAGCAUCAUUUGGAGACCAAUGUGGUGGAUGGCAGCCAGAUCAUGGCUAGGCUUGGCCAACGAAGAUUUGGAAGGGCUCUCCCCACAUUUGCUACAAGUGCACUGGUGGCUAAAGAGACCAAUGCAAGACAGACAAGAUGGGUUGCAAAAGGCACAGCAGAAAGACUCCUGGGAUGGGAUUGGCAAGACGCGAUUCUUUCUGCGUUGUCUUCUCUCUUCGAUGGUGAUCCUGAGUGCGUUCUCAAAGGAAGCAGCAGCGUUAGAGACAGUGUGUCUCCAGACCUCUCGAUUGGAGGCCAGAGUAG